Molecule: non-coding RNA, 84 nt
Organism: Caenorhabditis elegans
Lineage: Eukaryota; Metazoa; Nematoda; Chromadorea; Rhabditida; Rhabditidae
Source: Ensembl
GCGGAAAGAUAAAAUAUCUUAAAAUCGAUUCUAGAAACCCUUGGACCAGUGUGGGUGUCCGUUGCGGUGCUACAUUCUCUAAUC